AACGGCCAUAUCACGUUGGAACACCGCUAAUAGUCCGAUCACUGAAGUUAAGCAACGUUGAAGUUGGUCAGUACCUAGAUGGGUGACCGCUUGGGAAUACCAGGUGCUGUAAG
This is a non-coding RNA of Acanthosepion pharaonis, 113 nucleotides long. The record is from the annotation of a GenBank genome assembly. NCBI's taxonomy places the organism in Eukaryota, Metazoa, Mollusca, Cephalopoda, Sepiida, Sepiidae.